GCACCAAGGAUUGCAAAAGAGAAUGGAGGACACCAUGAAGCAGGACUGGAAGAAACGAGGGCUUACUCAAAAGUUUUACUUUAUUUAUUUUCAUGAAAUCUUACAAAUAUUAAUUAUGAUGUGUUUAGGUUCAUAUCUCCUCAUUGACUUUGCACUUUUUUCUGCUCAAAGACAGGCAGAAAUAUUCCAACUCCUGCCAACUGAAAGCUCCUUUCCUCUUUAGCCCUUUAAUAAUUGAUAAAAAUGUAAAGUAAAUAACAUGGAAACAGAGUGAAAAGUGCUUGAAUAUUUAUAUAUUCCACCUGUUAACGUUUGACAUUGAGUUGACAUUGUUUGUCCUAGGCAAUGCUUUUGAAGCAUGGCAAGUUAAUGUUAUGCAGCUCCCUCAAACUGUAGAGUCCAGAGAGGAGUUGGUGUAACCAUGAUAUAUGUAGACCAAAAUUCUGUUUUUACCCUUGUUGCAGGAAGACCGUCCAUUAGUUGCAUCUGCGCUUGACAUCAGCUAAGCAGCCAUCGGCUGUCAUGCUGAGUUGGCGUCACAGCACACAGCAUGAGAAAUUGACCCUUUUUCUCAUGAUCACAGGCGUGAAUCUGGUCACCAAAGUCGCCCCAAGUCACCAGCAGAAACAAGCCAGCUACUUGAGGAAGACUUAAGAUUAUAAUGUUAGAAACAAUAAAGAAUUAAAAUACUA
Molecule: long non-coding RNA, 692 nt
Organism: Frankliniella occidentalis (western flower thrips)
Lineage: Eukaryota; Metazoa; Arthropoda; Insecta; Thysanoptera; Thripidae
Exons: 2
Source: RefSeq, a predicted model, not a curated record